GAUGAACGCUGGCGGCGUGCCUAAUACAUGCAAGUCGAGCGAACGGACGAGAAGCUUGCUUCUCUGAUGUUAGCGGCGGACGGGUGAGUAACACGUGGAUGACCUACCUAUAAGACUGGGAUAACUUCGGGAAACCGGAGCUAAUACCGGAUAAUAUUUUGAACCGCAUGGUUCAAAAGUGAAAGACGGUCUUGCUGUCACUUAUAGAUGGAUCCGCGCUGCAUUAGCUAGUUGGUAAGGUAACGGCUUACCAAGGCAACGAUGCAUAGCCGACCUGAGAGGGUGAUCGGCCACACUGGAACUGAGACACGGUCCAGACUCCUACGGGAGGCAGCAGUAGGGAAUCUUCCGCAAAGGGCGAAAGCCUGACGGAGCAACGCCGCGUGAGUGAUGAAGGUCUUCGGAUCGUAAAACUCUGUUAUUAGGGAAGAACAUAUGUGUAAGUAACUGUGCACAUCUUGACGGUACCUAAUCAGAAAGCCACGGCUAACUACGUG
This 497-nucleotide ribosomal RNA is filed under the name uncultured bacterium. Its description in RNAcentral is "partial 16S ribosomal RNA". It matches the Rfam family "Bacterial small subunit ribosomal RNA", at positions 28 to 507 of the family's 1533-position model. The record is from RNAcentral.